This 468-nucleotide ribosomal RNA is filed under the name uncultured bacterium. Its description in RNAcentral is "partial 16S ribosomal RNA". It matches the Rfam family "Bacterial small subunit ribosomal RNA", at positions 28 to 507 of the family's 1533-position model. The record is from RNAcentral.
GACGAACGCUGGCGGCGUGCUUAACACAUGCAAGUCGAACGGAAAGGCCCUGCUUUUGUGGGGUGCUCGAGUGGCGAACGGGUGAGUAACACGUGAGUAACCUGCCCUUGACCUUGGGAUAACUUCAGGAAACUGGGGCUAAUACCGGAUAGGAGCUCCUGCUGCAUGGUGGGGGUUGGAAAGUUUCGGCGGUUGGGGAUGGACUCGCGGCUUAUCGGCUUGUUGGUGGGGUAGUGGCUUACCAAGGCUUUGACGGGUAGCCGGCCUGAGAGGGUGACCGGCCACAUUGGGACUGAGAUACGGCCCAGACUCCUACGGGAGGCAGCAGUGGGGAAUAUUGCACAAUGGGCGGAAGCCUGAUGCAGCAACGCCGCGUGCGGGAUGACGGCCUUCGGGUUGUAAACCGCUUUCGCCUGUGACGAAGCGUGAGUGACGGUAAUGGGUAAAGAAGCACCGGCUAACUACGUG